GAUGAACGCUGGCGGCGUGCUUAACACAUGCAAGUCGAACGGGAAUGUUUCGCUGAUGCGAUUUCGGUCAAAUCUUGAAGCAUUUUAGUGGCGGACGGGUGAGUAACGCGUGGGUAACCUGCCCUGUACAGGGGGACAACAGUUGGAAACGACUGCUAAUACCGCAUCAGCGCACAGCUUCGCAUGAAGCAGUGUGAAAAACUCCGGUGGUACAGGAUGGACCCGCGUCUGAUUAGAUAGUUGGUGAGGUAACGGCCCACCAAGUCAACGAUCAGUAGCCGGCCUGAGAGGGCGAACGGCCACAUUGGGACUGAGACACGGCCCAAACUCCUACGGGAGGCAGCAGUGGGGAAUAUUGCACAAUGGGAGAAACCCUGAUGCAGCGACGCCGCGUGAGUGAAGAAGUAUUUCGGUAUGUAAAGCUCUAUCAGCAGGGAAGAAAACAAUGACGGUCCCUGACUAAGAAGCCCCGGCUAACUACGUGCCAGCCGCCGCGGUAA
Molecule: ribosomal RNA, 500 nt
Filed under: uncultured bacterium
Lineage: Bacteria
Description: partial 16S ribosomal RNA
Rfam family: Bacterial small subunit ribosomal RNA
Source: RNAcentral